CCUUCUCUCUUGCCCGUGGCGUGCCUGACUGUGACAAUGCAACUAGAGGAGGCACAGCACCCUCUUGAAGAACUAUACUGCAAAAUCUGCUGCUGUUUGUACAUAGCUGAAGC
RNAcentral lists this small RNA (113 nucleotides) under Oryza sativa Japonica Group (Japanese rice). Its description in RNAcentral is "sRNA Os08g0110550". The record is from RNAcentral. Lineage: Eukaryota; Viridiplantae; Streptophyta; Magnoliopsida; Poales; Poaceae.